UAAGCUAUUGCGAUUCAUUCCCUCCACACAUUCAUAUUUGCCUUAUCCUGAAGAGAGUUACGUUUAUUCUGAUCUUACCUCUAAACAGAAAAAACAACCAUGCCUUGAUGAGCUUUCUCACUCUCAAUUAAAACUCCAUAAUUGGUGUCACCACCACCAUCAUCACCAUCAUCAUCAUCAUUAUUAUUACAAUUGAACAUAUAUUGCAGUGAUCAUCAUUAUUAUUCAUGGCUAGCAAACUAGCUUUCACGUUAACACACCCUCGUCCAUGCACUACUGCAGCUAGUUCUUCUACUAUUACCCCAACACCUUUGCUUCCUAUAUCAUCCUUGUCUUACCCUUCUGGUGGACACUUGAUUCAGUUCAAUGGCCGCCAUUUAUGCCUUCGUCGAAGGAUAUUUUUGCUGUCCCCUAAGGCCACUGCGGAUCAACAACAACAAGGAAAGGUUGGAGACUUCGAAAAAGAGGUUGUUGAUUCUAAAAUCCUCCCUUAUUGUAGCAUAGAUAAAAAAGAGAAGAAAUCAGUUGGUGAAAUGGAGCAAGAGUUUCUUCAGGCACUGCAGGCAUUCUAUUAUGAGGGGAAGGCUAUUAUGUCAAAUGAAGAAUUUGAUAAUCUAAAGGAAGAACUCAUGUGGGAAGGAAGCAGCGUUGUUAUGCUAAGUUCUGAUGAACAGAAGUUUCUGGAAGCUUCUAUGGCUUAUGUGUCGGGAAAUCCAAUUAUGAGUGACAAAGAGUACGAUGAAUUGAAAAUGAAGCUAAAGAUGGAAGGGAGUGACAUCGUGGUUGAGGGUCCAAGAUGCAGUCUUCGUAGUAGAAAGGUUUACAGUGACCUCUCUGUAGAUUAUCUAAAGAUGCUCCUAUUGAACGUCCCUGCUACUGUGAUCGCAUUAGGAUUGUUCUUCUUCCUUGAUGAUUUGACUGGAUUUGAGAUCACAUAUCUCCUAGAGCUGCCAGAGCCUUUCAGUUUCAUUUUCACUUGGUUUGCUGCUGUUCCCCUUCUUGUGUGGCUAGCUCAGUCACUAACAAGUGCUAUUGUCAAAGAUUUUGUGAUUCUUAAGGGACCUUGCCCAAACUGUGGUGCUGAAAACACUUCCUUUUUUGGGACUAUACUAUCAGUUUCAAGUGGAGGAAAAGUCAACAAUGUCAAAUGCUCUGAAUGUGGCACUGAAAUGGUAUUUGAUUCAAGUACAAGAUUGAUUACAUUGCCGGAAGGCAGUAACGCCUAAGUUUGAGAGGGAUGCUUGAAACAAGUGGUCAAUGGUUCCAGCAAUGUGAGAUCAUUGAUAAGAGUGUAAUGAAAGUGACUAAUUUAUGAAAUUAGCACAUGAUGAUCCACGGAAGGCCAUCAUGGAGUCAUGCUUCUCAUUGUCACAAACAACAAUUGUGAUCAAACUGAAACUGUUGUUUUAUGCCACAAUGUCCUACUUAAUUUCUAUGCACCAGGAAGGAACUUUACAUAGCCAGGAACAUCAAGAAGGAUGUGACAAUAUACAAAUAUUUUUAGCUAAUUCAAAAUAUAUAUUAUUUCAUCUUUUCCAAUUAAUUGAAAGACUUGAGAGGCUGAACAGGACACUAAUUGUAAUUAAACAUUUUUUAUGCUUUUUUCUCUUUUAAUUUAGUCAAGCAUUUUAUCA
This is an RNA transcript of Arachis stenosperma, 1634 nucleotides long. It is a transcript of the gene named PGR5-like protein 1A, chloroplastic, with no coding region annotated. The transcript has 12 exons. NCBI's taxonomy places the organism in Eukaryota, Viridiplantae, Streptophyta, Magnoliopsida, Fabales, Fabaceae. The record is from RefSeq and is a predicted model, not a curated record.